RNAcentral lists this ribosomal RNA (156 nucleotides) under Inonotus rickii. Its description in RNAcentral is "5.8S ribosomal RNA". It matches the Rfam family "5.8S ribosomal RNA". Rfam says of the family: 5.8S ribosomal RNA (5.8S rRNA) is a component of the large subunit of the eukaryotic ribosome. It is transcribed by RNA polymerase I as part of the 45S precursor that also contains 18S and 28S rRNA. The record is from RNAcentral. Lineage: Eukaryota; Fungi; Basidiomycota; Agaricomycetes; Hymenochaetales; Hymenochaetaceae.
UCCAACUUUCACCACGGGAUUUCUUGGCUCUCGAAUCGAUGAAGAAGGCAGCAAAAUGCAAUAAGUAAUUUAAAUGGCAGAAUUCAGUGAUUCAUGGAAUCUUUGAACGCCCCUUGCGCCCCUUGGAAUUCCGAGGGGCAGCCCUGUUUGAGUGUC